RNAcentral lists this ribosomal RNA (1107 nucleotides) under Vibrio cholerae. RNAcentral's name for it is "partial 23S ribosomal RNA". It matches the Rfam family "Bacterial large subunit ribosomal RNA", at positions 1658 to 2749 of the family's 2925-position model. Lineage: Bacteria; Pseudomonadati; Pseudomonadota; Gammaproteobacteria; Vibrionales; Vibrionaceae. The record is from RNAcentral.
CACAGGUGGUCGGGUAGAGAAUACCAAGGCGCUUGAGAGAACUCGGGUGAAGGAACUAGGCAAAAUGGUACCGUAACUUCGGGAGAAGGUACGCUCUUGAUGGUGAAGUCCCUCGCGGAUGGAGCUGACGAGAGUCGCAGAUACCAGGUGGCUGCAACUGUUUAUUAAAAACACAGCACUGUGCAAAAUCGCAAGAUGACGUAUACGGUGUGACGCCUGCCCGGUGCCGGAAGGUUAAUUGAUGGGGUUAGCGCAAGCGAAGCUCUUGAUCGAAGCCCCGGUAAACGGCGGCCGUAACUAUAACGGUCCUAAGGUAGCGAAAUUCCUUGUCGGGUAAGUUCCGACCUGCACGAAUGGCGUAAUGAUGGCCACGCUGUCUCCACCCGAGACUCAGUGAAAUUGAAAUCGCUGUGAAGAUGCAGUGUACCCGCGGCUAGACGGAAAGACCCCGUGAACCUUUACUACAGCUUGGCACUGAACAUUGAACCUACAUGUGUAGGAUAGGUGGGAGGCUAUGAAGACGUGACGCCAGUUGCGUUGGAGCCGUCCUUGAAAUACCACCCUUGUAUGUUUGAUGUUCUAACUUAGACCCAUUAUCUGGGUUGAGGACAGUGCCUGGUGGGUAGUUUGACUGGGGCGGUCUCCUCCCAAAGAGUAACGGAGGAGCACGAAGGUGGGCUAAUCACGGUUGGACAUCGUGAGGUUAGUGCAAUGGCAUAAGCCCGCUUAACUGCGAGAAUGACGGUUCGAGCAGGUGCGAAAGCAGGUCAUAGUGAUCCGGUGGUUCUGUAUGGAAGGGCCAUCGCUCAACGGAUAAAAGGUACUCCGGGGAUAACAGGCUGAUACCGCCCAAGAGUUCAUAUCGACGGCGGUGUUUGGCACCUCGAUGUCGGCUCAUCACAUCCUGGGGCUGAAGUCGGUCCCAAGGGUAUGGCUGUUCGCCAUUUAAAGUGGUACGCGAGCUGGGUUUAGAACGUCGUGAGACAGUUCGGUCCCUAUCUGCCGUGGGCGUUGGAAGAUUGAAGGGGGCUGCUCCUAGUACGAGAGGACCGGAGUGGACGAACCUCUGGUGUUCGGGUUGUGUCGCCAGACGCAUUGCCCGGUAGC